UACGGGGGGGGCAAGCGUUGUUCGGGAUUACUGGGCGUAAAGGGCUCGUAGGCGGCCAACUAAGUCAGACGUGAAAUCCCUCGGCUUAACCGGGGAACUGCGUCUGAUACUGGAUGGCUUGAGUUUGGGAGAGGGAUGCGGAAUUCCAGGUGUAGCGGUGAAAUGCGUAGAUAUCUGGAGGAACACCGGUGGCGAAGGCGGCAUCCUGGACCAACACUGACGCUGAUGAGCGAAAGCCAGGGGAGCAAACGGG
Molecule: ribosomal RNA, 253 nt
Filed under: uncultured bacterium
Lineage: Bacteria
Description: partial 16S ribosomal RNA
Rfam family: Bacterial small subunit ribosomal RNA
Source: RNAcentral